CCUACGGGCGGCAGCAGUGGGGAAUAUUGCACAAUGGGGGAAACCCUGAUGCAGCGACGCCGCGUGAGUGAAGAAGUAAUUCGUUAUGUAAAGCUCUAUCAGCAGGGAAGAAACUGACGGUACCUGAGUACGAAGCCCCGGCUAACUACGUGCCAGCAGCCGCGGUAAUACGUAGGGGACAAGCGUUAUCCGGAUUUACUGGGUGUAAAGGGGGCGUAGACGGCAGUGCAAGUCUGGAGUGAAAGGCGGGGGCUCAACCCCCGGACUGCCCUGGAAACUGGAUGGCUGGAGUGCAGGAGAGGUAAGUGGAAUUCCUAGUGUAGCGGUGAAAUGCGUAGAUAUUAGGAGGAACACCAGUGGCGAAGGCGGCUUACUGGACGGUAACUGACGUUGAGGCUCGAAAGCGUGGGGAGCAAACAGGAUUAGAUACCCGAGUAGUC
Molecule: ribosomal RNA, 440 nt
Filed under: uncultured bacterium
Lineage: Bacteria
Description: partial 16S ribosomal RNA
Rfam family: Bacterial small subunit ribosomal RNA
Source: RNAcentral